GGCUACACUGAGGCCAAUGAGAGGAAAACUGGCUAGAGGGAGAUAAUAUCAAAUCUGCACGUGAUGACUGCAUCUUGUUCCAACUACCUGUAACUUUCUUCGAAUAGAACCUUCCUCUGGAAACCAGCACCUGAUGGGAGAACAGUGGAGUCUGACCCUAACAGUCAAUUCUCCAAGAUGUAAGGACGUAUUUCUAGUUUGUGGCUUUGCCUCCAAGGAUCCGGUCAGUUAGAGGCAACCCUCCUGGGAAGUAUCUUUCCAAUGAGGAUUGCUAUAAACAUUCCU
Prionailurus viverrinus (fishing cat) is the source of this 285-nucleotide long non-coding RNA. RefSeq lists it as uncharacterized. NCBI's taxonomy places the organism in Eukaryota, Metazoa, Chordata, Mammalia, Carnivora, Felidae. The transcript has 3 exons. The record is from RefSeq and is a predicted model, not a curated record.